UAACACGUAGGUAAUGUACCGUAGGGUGGGGAAUAACUUAGGGAAACUUAAGCUAAUACCGCAUAAUGCAGCGGCUCGACAUCGAGACAGUUGUUAAAGGAGCAAUCCGCCUUAUGAGCAGCCUGCGGCAGAUUAGCUUGUUGGUAAGGUAAUGGCUUACCAAGGCUACGAUCUGUAACCGACCUGAGAGGGUGGUCGGUCACACUGACACUGAAUAACGGGUCAG
This 226-nucleotide ribosomal RNA is filed under the name uncultured bacterium. Its description in RNAcentral is "partial 16S ribosomal RNA". It matches the Rfam family "Bacterial small subunit ribosomal RNA", at positions 111 to 334 of the family's 1533-position model. The record is from RNAcentral.